UGCUAGCCCCGGGAGGAGCGACAUCCUUUGCUGCCGGGGUUCGGCAGCAAAGAUAUAGCGGAUCACGGGACAAUGU
Molecule: small RNA, 76 nt
Filed under: Flavobacterium succinicans
Lineage: Bacteria; Pseudomonadati; Bacteroidota; Flavobacteriia; Flavobacteriales; Flavobacteriaceae
Description: Flavo-1 RNA
Rfam family: Flavo-1 RNA
Source: Rfam by way of RNAcentral